This 492-nucleotide ribosomal RNA is filed under the name uncultured bacterium. RNAcentral's name for it is "partial 16S ribosomal RNA". It matches the Rfam family "Bacterial small subunit ribosomal RNA", at positions 29 to 507 of the family's 1533-position model. The record is from RNAcentral.
AGUGAACGCUGGCGGUAGGCCUAACACAUGCAAGUCGAACGGCAGCACAGUAAGAGCCUGCUCUUACGGGUUGCGAGUGGCGGACGGGUGAGGAAUACAUCGGAAUCUACUUUUUCGGGGGGGAUAACGUAGGGAAACUUACGCUCAUAUCGCAUACGACCUACGGGUGAAAGCAGGGGAUCUUCGGAACUUGCGCGAUUGAAGGUGGCGAUGUCUUAUUGGAUGGUGGGCGGGUAAAAGGCCCACCAAGGCGACAAUCCUAAGCUGGUCUCUGAGGAUGAUCACCAAAAUGGGAACUGGGACACGGUCCAGCCUCCUACGGGAGGAGGCAGAGGGGAAUAUUGGAAAAUGGGCGCAAGCCCAAUCAAGCCAUACCGCGUGGGUGAAGAAGGCCUUCGGGUUGUAAAGCCCUUUGGUUGGGAAAGAAAAGCAGCAGGUUAAUACCCCGCUGUUCUGACGGUACCCAAAGAAUAAGCACCGGCUAACUUCGUG